GAGAUCGGGAUAACACCUGGAAACAGAUGCUAAUACCGGAUAACAACAGAUGAUGCCUAUCAACUGUUUAAAAGAUGGUUCUGCUAUCACUCUUGGAUGGACCUGCGGUGCAUUAGCUAGUUGGUAGGGUAACGGCCUACCAAGGCGAUGAUGCAUAGCCGAGUUGAGAGACUGAUCGGCCACAUUGGGACUGAGACACGGCCCAAACUCCUACGGGAGGCAGCAGUU
This 228-nucleotide ribosomal RNA is filed under the name uncultured Lactobacillus sp. RNAcentral describes it as "partial 16S ribosomal RNA". It matches the Rfam family "Bacterial small subunit ribosomal RNA", at positions 134 to 355 of the family's 1533-position model. Lineage: Bacteria; Bacillati; Bacillota; Bacilli; Lactobacillales; Lactobacillaceae. The record is from RNAcentral.